Serinus canaria (Common canary) is the source of this 2352-nucleotide long non-coding RNA. RefSeq lists it as uncharacterized. NCBI's taxonomy places the organism in Eukaryota, Metazoa, Chordata, Aves, Passeriformes, Fringillidae. The transcript is spliced from 3 exons. The record is from RefSeq and is a predicted model, not a curated record.
GCUGGGAGUGGCAGGUUCUGCACCAGGAUCCUGCAGCUCAGCCAUGACCCUGCUCCGUCAAAAUUCUGAUUUUCCAAAGGUGAUGCUUCUCCAGCUGUUUGGGGUUUUAAAUCACAUGAAACAACCCCAAUUCCUGUUUCCACACACCAAGAUCUGUGCCCAGAAAUGAUGUUUUGUUUGAGCAGCACCAGAGGUUUCACCUGGCAGGGAACACCACACAUCACCUGAGCUGCCCUGUGAAUAAUCCCAGCAUUCAGGUAACACUGAGGUGAGGCAGUGCCUGAUGCACUGGAGCUGUGCAGGUUUAAUUUAGGAAAGAACACAAAGCAGGUGGUGAUCUCAAAGCUCUCAGAAUGUGCAGCCCAGGAGAUUUCCAGAGCUCUGGGAGCUGAACAUUCCAUGUCCUGUCACCAACUUCAGUGCAAAUCCAGCAUCCAUUUCAAGGUGGAAAACAGAAAAUAAAGAAUUCCUCAUUCUCCUCCUUCCUGGUCAGAGCUCAGGCAGACUCUGGGAUCCAGCUGCUGGUGAGCUGGAAAAUCUGUUUUGCUGGAAAUGAAUAAUUCACGUGCCUGCCAAUCUCCCUGCCCUUUUUUUUUCCUUUAUUAAAUUUGGGUGGGGGGUGCCCAGUGUUUGCUGAGCUUUAAUUCUCAGAAUUCUCCAGUUCUGUCAUACACACCGUGGCAAUUUCUCUCCUCCCCUGUCUGAGCCAUAACUCAAUUUCCAGGCAACAGGAAAAUAUUCUCAAUUUCAACAUCAAUCUGGGUACUUCAAUAUUGCACCUCUGCUGCUUUUGUCUCUGCUUUUUUGUUGUUUACAGCUCCUGCUGAAUUUCCUGGCACUGCUGUGUGUUUGCCAUGAUUUCCAGGCACGGGUAAAUUCCCAAAUGCAAAGACACAAAUUCCUGAUCAAAUUCCAUGACAACUGCAAGGUGAUGCUAUUUUAUGUGGCUCUGUGUGAAGAGAGGAAAAGCUGAUAAUCUCAGCAAUAAUCCAAAUUAGCCACAUUCAAACUUGUCUUAUUUAAGGGUUUGUUGUGUUGGGGUUUUUAUUUUUGAACUUCUCCAUGAGGCAAUUUUCCAGUUUGAACUAAUAAUUCACAAGCAGGAGAUAUUCCAGGCUCAAAUCCAGCUCCAGCCAGGAGAGGUGUGGGAGAAAAAGCUAAUUCCAAAUUGGAGCAGUUAUUGCAGGGAUGCAAUCUUUGAGCCACAAAUUCAGGAUUUGUUGAAGUUCUGACUCCAAGUUACAAAACUCUUCAGCACCUGAGUCAAUGACCUGUGCAGGGAUGAGUGCUGAGCCCCUUGCAGCAUCUUUUCAUUAGUUAUAAAUAUAUCUGCCAUUCAAUUUUGCCUUCGUGCUCUUUCACUCCCACUUCUUCCCAGCCAGCCACUCUCAGAUCUGAGCAAACAAUGACAUUUACAGGAUUAUUUUCUGAAAAAUCAUCUUCCUCUGCCUCUCAUUGUGCUGGGCUGCACAAUGACACCUUGGCAAGGUUGUGAUAAAAAAGCAAGAGAUGAAACAGAAAGAAAAGCCCCAGAAGUGGAAGCUCAGUGAAGCAUCAGAUAAAUGUCUUUUUUUUCUUUUACACACUGGAAUUACCUGGCACAUCAACCUGAAUAACAUCCAGUAAUUAAAUCUGAUCUAAGUGCCUGAUUUGGGUCUAAAAGAACCAAAGGGAUUUAUAAUUAGGCACAGUUCCAGUGCUGCUGAGAGCAGGGUGACUUCCAACCACUCAAGGCAAAACUUUUGCCUUUAAAUAUUAAUUUGUGCACCAAGAAAGCAGCAGAUCUUUGGGGGAUCUGUUGAUUUUCUUUCUCUUCCACUUCCAAGAGAAUAAUCCAAAAUUUCACCCCUAAGAGGUCGGAGCUGUGGCACCUUUGAUCCUCACAAAAAAUGUGAGAUGAUCUCUGCAGUCACCUCUGGGUGUGUUUGGGAGUUAUCCCUGGGUUUAACCCUGCUGAAAGCAGCUGGUUUGCACCAUACAAAGAAUUAUUACCAGAAUCCCUGGGAGAGUUUGCAGAUGGUGAAUUAAGUACAGCACGGCUAAUUAAUAAUUCAUGAAAUGGUAAAAGUAAUUAAUGAUUUUACCAGCUUUUACCUGGACUGAGGCACAGAGGGGAAAGAGAUUUGUGUGUGCUCACAGCCUUGGUUCCUGCACAGUCAUAGCUCAGAUAGUCCUUGAUUUUCACAGAACUUUCACCAAAUUUCAGUGAAAUUUCCACUCCCACACCAAGUUUGUGGGAUUGUCCUGGUGUUAGGACAGAACUUGAUCCCAGCUGGAACCAAACCAGGGAUCAAACUAAUUGCUAAUUGCUCUUACGAGGUCCUUGUGCUCAGGCCAGGAGUUGUUAGAGGA